This 497-nucleotide ribosomal RNA is filed under the name uncultured bacterium. RNAcentral describes it as "partial 16S ribosomal RNA". It matches the Rfam family "Bacterial small subunit ribosomal RNA", at positions 28 to 507 of the family's 1533-position model. The record is from RNAcentral.
GAUGAACGCUGGCGGCGUGCCUAAUACAUGCAAGUCGAGCGAGCAGACCAGGAGCUUGCUCCUCGGACGUUAGGGGCGGACGGGUGAGUAACACGUGUAUAACCCACCUAUAAGACUGGUAUCUCUUCGGAAAACCGGAGCAUAUAGGGGAGGAGAUAUUGAAGCACGGGGGGGAAUGGUGAAAGUCGGCUGUUCUGUCUCGUCUAGCGGGAUCCGCGCCGAAUGAGCUGGUUGGUGAGGUCAAGGGUUAACAAGGCAACGAUGCGUAAGCGAGCUGAGAGGGUGAUCGCCCACCUUGGAACUGAGACACGGUCCAGGCGACUAAGGUAGGCAGCAGUAGGGAACGGGCCGCAAUGGGCGAAAGCAUGACGGAGCAACGCCGAGUGAGUGAUGACGGCCUUCGGAGCGUAAAACUCUGUUAUUAGGGAAGAACAACUGUGUAAGUAACUAUGCACGUAUUGACGGUAAUUAGUCAGAAAGCACCGGCUAACUACGUG